GGUGACAGUGGUUUGUCACUUUGUAUGCAGUCUGUCAGCUGUGAAAAAGUUUCUGCUUGCUCACAGAAUGCGAAUUUUUAAGGCAGCAGUCACUUUUUCACAUUAAUAUUUUGUACCAUGUAUUUGCCUUGGAAACUUUGCAUAGCAGCAGCUGUUUAGAGCACAUUCUACAUGUUUAGAAACACAGAAGUUCACUUCUAGACAGUCUGGAUGGCUGCGUCCCGGUUCAUGGAGAGGGUUUCCAGUGACGAUGAAAACGAAGACCUGAUUGAGCUGGAAGCUAUUAGGAGACCAUGCAGAGGAGUGAAAUUUGAUCUGACACAUUCAAAUCAAGAAGACUUUGAAGCACAGCGUUACCAUGAGCCUGGACACACAAAUGCCCUACAAAGGAAUAGCUGGUCAUCUUCAACCCAGAGGGUCCUGUCCUCCAUGCCUAGCCGCUCUAUCAGAUUUAAUCAGUCGACUGCACUGUCCCGUUCCACUCAGACACAAAGAAGACGACCUCUUAGCACUGUGUCCACCACUCGCUGCACUACAGAGCAGGAUGUCUUCAGAGGGCAGGACGACUUGCCAGUGACCCAAAAGGAGGAGAUGCUAAACAAACUACAAGAUUUGUCUGCUGCUGAAUGUGUGCAUGUGUUGCGUGAAAUGCCUCUUAGUGUCUCUGAGAAGCGCCAGAUCAGAGCUCUGGUCUUCUGCGAGACUGUACAGCCUCUCUCUGUUAACAGAGCCAUGUGCUGCCAUCAGUUUAAAAAUGGGUUCUUAAAGGUUUUGUGUGGUUACGGUGAAGUCUCCCAGCAGAAAUCCAUACAGCUCUGGCAGGGAGUGCUUAAAAACAUCAGCGCUCACUUCGGCACCGGGGUUCUGUCCUAUUUCAUCUUCCUCAGAAGACUGUUACAUUACAACAUUCUCCUCUUCCUCAUCACCGGCCUUUUCCUGGUUCUACCACAAAUCUCAAAUCCUCCACUCAAAUCCUCAAAAAACAAAAAGGAAGACUCAGAUGACUUCUGGAUGCUUACUGGCAUGGGCAUUCUCACAGACUCUGUGAUGUUUUAUGGCCACUAUACCAAUGAAAGCUGCAAAGCUGAAAUGAAAACUUUUCCAGAAAAUUACAACAUACCACUGGCGUAUAUUUUUACUAUCGGAGUAGGCAUGUUUAUCACAUGUGUGAUGCUUGUUUACAGUAUGUCUAAAUCAGACGGAAAAAGUUUCCGUGUAUUCAAGACUAGCGGUAACCUAGCUUUAAAGGUUUUCUGCUCUUGGGAUUUUAAAGUCAGCAAGAAACACUCCGUUAAACUGCAGUCGGUGAACAUCUGCACUCAGCUGAAGGAGAUGCUGUCAGAGCUCAGCUGCGAGAAAGAGAAGAGGAACUUGAGUUCAACUUUGGGCUGGUUGAGUCUACACUUUCUUGUAUGGUCCAUUUGCCUGGCUUGCAUGGCUGCCUGCGUGCUGGCCGUUUGCUGUUUACACUCUUACCUUGAACCAGGCAGUUCCAAGUUGGCGAACUCCUUUCAGAAACCUGUCGGUUUGCUGACACUGCCUUUGGUUGUGUCUUGUGUCAGUCAUCUACUGCCUGGUUUCUUCGACAUGAUAUCCAGUGUAGAGCAUUACAACUCUCCGAGCACUCGGAUUUACGUGUCCAUUGCAAGGAACCUGUUGUUGAAGGGUUGCAUUUUUGGUGCAUUGUGUUACUACUGGCUCAAGAAAGUUUCUGUUGGGAAGGAUGGACAAACGACAUGGCAGUGCUGGGAGACGUUGGUUGGUCAAGAGCUUUAUCGUUUGGUUUUAAUCGAUCUACUAUUUGCGAUGACGUACAUCAUCUUAGCAGAGUUUCUGUGGGGGCUGUGUAUUAGAAACAUCACAUUAAGAAGAAAGAAACUAGAGUUUGACAUCGCACGAGAUGUUCUGGAGCUCAUCUAUGGUCAAACGCUUGUGUGGUUUGGUGUGCUGUUUUCACCCCUGUUGCCUGUAGUUCAAAUUGGGAAACUGCUUGUACUGUUCUACCUGAAAAAGACGAGUUUGAUGAUGAACUUCCAACCACCCAGGAAACACUGGAGGGCCACUCAGAUGAGCACAUUCUUCAUCAAAAUCCUGUUUUUCCCCUCCUUCACUGGGGCCCUUGCAUGUGUCAUUUACGCAAUGUUGAGGGUCAAGCCCUCAUCAGAUUGUGGGCCAUUCAGUAACGUCACCAACAUGCUUCUCUUAGGCAAGGAGUGGAUCAUGGGCCUGGGGAAGUCGAACCCCAAUAUGUUCUGGCUCAGCUGGGCUUAUGAUCACCUGGUGGACAACCCUAUGUUCCUCUUCAUCACUGCAGGCCUGUUCCUCUCCAUAAUAUACGUCCAGAUGCAAGUUUUGGAUGGCCAAAAGAUGGUCGUUGCCAGGUUACAAGAACAAAUAGAUAAUGAAGGUGAGGAUAAGAAGUUCCUUAUAGCUAAACUCCAGGCCCUCAAUGAGACGAGUGCUCAGCAGUAGGGAAGGCUGAAUUCUACAGAACAGAGAAUUCGGACAACAGCUUUUUUUUUUUUUUUUAAGUAGUGUCCCUGUCAUUUAGUCAUGUAAAAAUAUUUUAAAAUGUAAAUAAAAGGGUUCAUUUUUGCUAUAGUUUUGAAUGGUUGAGGGAUCAUAAUUUUAAAUAUUGUGAUCAUAAUUUUAAAUAUUUAGAGAACUGGCUAUCAAUAUGCAGUCAGUUUCUUGCAACAUUUUAAUGAUGUGAUUCAGUUCAUCGCUGUCUUUUGGAAGUUUAAAAUCAAUAAAUAGAACACAUCUGUAAAUGACAGAUUUUUGGAAUUUUUAAAUUAUUAUUCUUAUUUAUCACACAACUCUGAAAUGCUUGUGUCUGACUGGUCAAAUACAGCAUUCCAUGAUCAAUUUUUUUUUGGUGUAUUUAAUUUGGACAAAGACUGCUAAGGUCACUGGACAUUUUAAUGGUAUGUAGGUCUAUGCACUGGGUUAAGAUUUUAUCUGAACCUGUCAGACUGAAAUCUGAAGAAUUAUGGUCACAUGCUGCUGACAAGAGCUCGGAAUCCUGUGAUGUACUGCAUUUUGUGGGAGGAGUUUCUUUUAUCUGUCUGGCAUCCACCUUUAUAAAGGUGCUGUAAGGACCUACUUUGGCUCAUUUGGCUCCCAAUGUCACACCACAUCAACUACAACAGUCAUUCAGUCACCCGAGAAAGAGAUUCAAAAAUGGAAUCCUCACGUUUAUACAUCCAUGUCCCAGAACAAUACAAAGGAUUUUAUACAUCUGGAGAAUGGGACCAUGGGAUUUUUGUUACAGAUUUGAAUCCAUGUUUAGCACGAAGUGACGUUCACAACUACUUUGAAAAAUUUGGGACAAUUACAGAAUGUAUCGUCCAAACCGACAAGUCAUCAGAAUGGCCAAAGGGUGUGGGCUUUGUGAGAUAUUCAUCUUUAGAGGAGGCUAAAGCAGCACAAGAAGCUGGGCCACACUGUUUUGGAGGUUUUCAAUUAAGGAUCACCCAAGUUGUUACACCAAAACUGCCUGACCAGACCAGAUGUGACCAGAGCCAGUUAAAUACUUCUCCAUGCCAAUCCUCCGUUCAAACAGACCUGUGUGUGAGCUAGAAGUGGAAUACAGGAGCUCUGACAGUUGCUGGCUGGAGUGAUUUACGCUAAAUAUAUUUUUUUGUUACAUUUUGUACCUAACAUUAAAAACCCUGCUUGAUUCAAUGUUUGUAAAUGAUUACUUUUAAAUGUACCUGAAAUGCUGAAUAAAUGUAUUCUAAGACCAGCUUGACUCUUAUUG
Molecule: RNA transcript, 3763 nt
Organism: Labeo rohita (rohu)
Lineage: Eukaryota; Metazoa; Chordata; Actinopteri; Cypriniformes; Cyprinidae
Gene: tmc6a
Gene name: transmembrane channel-like protein 6
Exons: 25
Source: RefSeq, a predicted model, not a curated record